CUCCCGGUAGCCAAGUUGGUUUAAGGCGCCAGACUGUAAAUCUGGAGAUCGGGUGUUCGACUCACCCCCGGGAGA
This 75-nucleotide transfer RNA is filed under the name Eremothecium gossypii ATCC 10895. Its description in RNAcentral is "tRNA-Tyr (GTA) (tRNA-Tyr-GTA-1 1 to 5)". It matches the Rfam family "tRNA". Rfam says of the family: Transfer RNA (tRNA) molecules are approximately 80 nucleotides in length. Their secondary structure includes four short double-helical elements and three loops (D, anti-codon, and T loops). Further hydrogen bonds mediate the characteristic L-shaped molecular structure. tRNAs have two regions of fundamental functional importance: the anti-codon, which is responsible for specific mRNA codon recognition, and the 3' end, to which the tRNAs corresponding amino acid is attached (by aminoacyl-tRNA synthetases). tRNAs cope with the degeneracy of the genetic code in two manners: having more than one tRNA (with a specific anti-codon) for a particular amino acid; and 'wobble' base-pairing, i.e. permitting non-standard base-pairing at the 3rd anti-codon position. The record is from RNAcentral. RNAcentral also lists the same sequence under 2 other names. Lineage: Eukaryota; Fungi; Ascomycota; Saccharomycetes; Saccharomycetales; Saccharomycetaceae.